CGGCGGCUGCGCGGUGGCGCGCGCGUAGGCGGAGCGGCGCGCGCCGCGGUCAGCUGACUGCUCCGGCUGGCACGUGACUUGUUUCGUGGGCUCUGGGGUCCAGGAAGCCGUGAGGCCGGAGCUUAGGUCGGGUAGGGAUGGAGCGCUGAGCCGUUAACGUCUGCCAGGCUGUACACCUCUGUACCUGUUACUGCUGCCACUUCCUCGUUUGACACUUCCCUGGGUCCUUUGAGAGAAAGUAGAUGAAAAUGCCAUUCAUUGUAUAGUUAGGGACCUAUCUAGACCCUGGACCUAGAAUGGACAUCAAGUGAUGUGUCCUAAGUCUAGCAUAACUUCCAUCAUCUUCUGAUUGCCGAUUACCUGCACAGUACUUAACCACAAUUACAUCUAGAGAGAAGGGAUUUGCUAAGCCAGAUGUGGCAAAUUUAUUUGGUGGCUACUGUUCAAAUGCAUUGAUUCAAUUCUUUUUCAAAGGUAAGAGUUAUGCAUGUUUUUUUACUUCCUAUUUUGGUUUUAUGUUUUAAAAAUUUAAGAUAAACCUAUAAAUUUGUGACU
RNAcentral lists this long non-coding RNA (555 nucleotides) under Balaenoptera musculus (blue whale). Its description in RNAcentral is "lncRNA (ENSBMSG00010017310.1)". Lineage: Eukaryota; Metazoa; Chordata; Mammalia; Artiodactyla; Balaenopteridae. The record is from RNAcentral.